This 253-nucleotide ribosomal RNA is filed under the name uncultured bacterium. Its description in RNAcentral is "partial 16S ribosomal RNA". It matches the Rfam family "Bacterial small subunit ribosomal RNA", at positions 524 to 776 of the family's 1533-position model. The record is from RNAcentral.
UACGGAGGGGGCUAGCGUUAUUCGGAAUUACUGGGCGUAAAGCGUGCGCAGGCGGUUGGUUAAGUCUGACGUGAAAUCCCCCGGCUUAACCUGGGAACUGCGUCUGAUACUGGCGAGCUAGAGUACGGUAGAGGAGAGUGGAAUUCCCGGUGUAGCAGUGAAAUGCGUAGAGAUCGGGAGGAACAUCAGUUGCGAAGGCGGCUCUCUGGACCAGUACUGACGCUGAGGCACGAAAGCGUGGGGAGCAAACAGG